AUGUGAACUACUGCCUAGUCUGGAUUAGCUGCCAGGAAGCCAAGUCAUGCACCUAGAGAAAGCCCUGGGUGAUUCCCCUCCAUGACAACACCCUGGGCUCCCAGCAGGCACCCAGCCAGACUGGUGGGAUCAACACCCUAUCAAGAGCCACUUCAUUCUCGUAAACACACAAAGCCCCAGAAAGAAAUGGAGCAAAUGUUUCCUAUGCUUUGCUUCCUUGAAGAGGCAGACAAAUAAUUCAAGCCACUGAAUUCACACAGAAAAGCAAAAUUAAGACCUCAACGAAUUUGCCAUCAUAGUUCAAAACCUGUUCAAGAAGAAAUAUUUUCAACAUGAAAGGCAUCUUUUUUAUUUGCGUUCUUACUAUGACAUUGUCCAGGAGGUCAAUUACUGUUAUUAUGUACAAACACAUUUAAUAUUGUAUUAAGAUAUAUUCAGGUCUUCUGAACUUUAUCUAGAAGAACAAGUAGCUCCACUAUUUAACAGACUUAGGCUUUGAAAAUGGGGUUUAAUAUCUCAUGACAUCUAAUACCUACAGAUCAGCCUUUCAAGAAAACGAUACCAGGAAUUUUGCAGAGCACCUGUUUUCAGGCAGACUAUUUGUUUCCAAGACAGCAUAAAUCACCAAGUGUCACUGAGAAAGUGAGGAGAAAAACAGAAAGGAGCACCAGGGAGAGCACUGCAAGAGCUCUUCCAAAGCAUGCAAAGCUUUCUAUGAAUUGUGAAAUUAAGAUGACAGUGUUACAGAAAUGGAGGAAACAUGGAACAUUUGAAGGCCCACUGACUGCAUAUGAGAAGAUAGCAGAGAAAAGCAGCAACCAUCAUAUGCCUUAAGAAAAUGCUAGCAUUAAACACAGCCAUGUUUUCCUCUAGAAGAUGCACAAGUCCCAAGAAAGACAGUAUGCAACUUGCAUGCAGCUGUGACAGAUUGCUGUGUAAAUGAUCUGUGCAAGACUAAGAACUUUCCUUCACAGCAAGUUUAACAUUUUAAGAAAUGCCUUUAUAUCUGUAAAGGAAAAAGAAGAAGGUGGGGGUGAAGUUGCCUCAUAAGAUUUUCAGAGAGCUCUUACCCAUAGAAAUAAUGAAUGUAUUUUCAAAUCUGUGUACAGAUGUUUCACAAGGAGCUACAGCUUUCUGCAGUGGAGUACAACAAUGCCUCACUCAGGUGCACGGUGUUAACCUGCUGCCAUGAAGGUGGUCUGGGUAAGAGUGCUAUGUUCUUUUUGAAAAGGAAGAAAAAGCACUGCUAUCAUCUUCCCAGCUUUGGCAGGGCAAAUGCCAAAUUUUUCAACAAAACCAUAAAAAACAACUUUCACCACUACCAUAAUUUGAUUAGGAGCAUAACUGCAAAAACAAGUUUAAGCAACCAAGAGAAAAUGUUUACAAAGUGCUAUGUCUGUUCUUGCCUAUUUAAAAAUUAACUAUAUCGUGGCCAAAUCCAGGACAUAAAGAAAAGUAGGAUUGGAAAUGAAGCCCUUUUUAUUUCUAAUCAUGUUCUUCAAAAGUCCUGCCUGCUUCCAGGCUAUGCUUGAGAGAAUCAUGUGUUACUUAAAACUGAGUUAAUGGAACAAGCAGCAGUCAGAGCAGCCCAGCUUAGAUUGCAUGGCAGUGCUGAGGAAGCUGAAGGUGCCUACAAAUUUGUUAUCCCUAAUAUCAAAGAUCAAAAGAGUAAAGUGCUGCUCUGCAGCACAGAACAUAAAUUACUUUAUAAGGGAAUUCUCAUGCAUCCUGAUGAGAACUGGCAGACACUAAUAGGCAGUAAAAUAAUUUCUCUAGAAGUUCACUUCUGCAGUUUGUUUGCAUACCUCUCUGGGAUAGAAGUAAAAUUUGCUAGUGUUUCCCCCUGAAUCCUCCUCCCAUGCCUUGAAAACAAUGAAAUUCUAUUUGAAUUAGGACAACAGGAGAGGCAAUUUAAAGGGGCACUAAAGAUUCAGUCUCUUAAUCACAACUGUGACAAAAUGCUGUUAUCCUUGCCAGCAAUUCCCUGGCAAUUUACAGUACUCCAGUGUAAAAAAAGGAGACCUUGCAUUGCAAAGAAACCUGACUAGAUAACCAGGUCUUCAUCCACUGAUUCCCCUUUCCUGGCACAUUGCACACAUCCUGGGGAUCACCAGGCACUCUGCCAUCCUGAAGCCAUUCAGGAGCUACGUUCUGACCCUGACAUUGAAUUUAAAGUUAUUUAGAAAGUGAAGUUAGUGCAGAGGCUGGCUUCUGAAUAACCCAUUUAAUGAGAAGGGCAUUUCAGUAGGACUGUGUGAAUGCACACCAGCAGCCCCAUUAGGCUGCAAUAGCACCUCAAGAGUUUUUAACAUAGGGGCAACCUAAAACCACUCUGCCUGAACUGUGGUUUCUGCUGCUCGCCAAAAGGGAUUCUCUUCCUGCAUAUAGGAUAGAAAUUAAAUUGUUGGGCAGGUUUCCCCUGCAAGGUCCUGCAACCCUGGGUUGCCACAGGUCUAGGAGUUGUUUUAGCGUAUAAAAAAAGAAAUACAUAAUUAGUAAUUUGAGAAACAUCCGAGGACUUUGAAGAUAACAUCCCAAAGCAAAGAAGACCUCAGGAAAGAGUUAAGAUUUUUUUCUUUUAUGUCACUGAUGGGCUGAUUUCCUGCUGAACAAUUGCUCAAAUGUAACAAAAAAAUGUUGGAUAGACAAUGGUAAGUUAAAUAGAGUUAAAUAAAGACAUAUUUUUAAUAUCUGCAAUAUAACUGAAGCUAAGUUAAAAUAUAAGGAAAAACAGGUUGUGUAAAGGCCAGGAAAAUACCCCAAGGAUCAAUAUGAACUUCAAAAGGUUGUGAUGUUUUCAACAACUUGUUAAUUGCUGGUAUAUGAGUAAGUGCCAAACCCAAAUCAUUGCUUCAAAUUGUGUUCCAGAGCAAAACACACAGAAAUUUCCAACCUUUGUGAAGCAACACAAAUAAAAGACUCCACAUACUUGUGGGUGAUUUUUGAAUUACUUUAACUCUUAUGACUCUGAUUUUUGAAUUAUUGUAAUUCUUAUGACUCUCAUAGGUUGCUUUGCAAAAGAAUCUCUGCUUUCAUUACCAAUCACUGCUGCUUUCAGGCCUUGAAUAUUUGAAUCUUAGCAUUCUUCCUGUGAGAUGCUUAAGUAACUAGAAACUGCAGAUAUGUGUUUUUAGCCUUUAAUCUGGACACUUUUGUCAAGAGAAAAACUAUUAAAUUACCGUAGCUGUUCUUUGGGCAAAACUCGUAAGCCAUCUAUUACCUGUGUUCCUUUAGGGUGAAAACAUUCUCAAAUAGGUUUACCUAUUUCUUUUGCUUCUCUCUUUAAAACUAGCUGAUGGGAAAGGGCAGAAGAAAUGUUAAGUGUGAUUAACUUAUUUUGAAGCAUAUUGUUAAGCCAGCAUCCCAUUCCAGAAUAGCAUAUUUCUGCUGACAGCCUUUUUACACAAGAUCUUCAGCCAGUUUUCCAUGAGAAGUUUCUGACAUCGUGUAAGAAUAAUUUCCUUUUCCUAUGAAGUUUUCUUGAGUUAUUAAUUUAUGUAGAAUGAAGAAAGUAAUUUCAAAACAGACAUGAAGUGGGCAAUUGCUUUUCCCUUCCUGAGGCUGCCGUGGGUUUGUUCUCUUGAAGCAGGAUCUCACCUCUCAGCUGAGGAUUUCUAGCCACAGGAGUUUCUCAGGAGAGCUCUUCAGCUGCAAGUGGAAGGGAAGAUAGAGCUCCUGAAGCCACCUCAGGAUUUCUACUUGGAAGCCUGGUAACAAAACACUGAAGUGAAAAUAAUUGGAAGUAUUUGGGAUUUAGUGUCAAAGUUUCUCAGUUGAGGCAUCUCAAAUAUAUCCAUUGAAAACAUCCUCCUGUCCAUUACUGUCCAGGUACUGUUCAGUGUUUCUGAUCAAAUGAUGUAUUAGCUGGUCUGAGGCUGUUGAAACAUCACUUCUAAUAGGUCAUAGCAUCCUUUAUAAAUAAUUUGGUUUCUGGAGAUUCUCACAUUGCUUUCUUAACUCUGAGAUAAAUUACAGACAAUUUUCUCUUUUCUGAAAAAUACCUAAAAACUGUGGCUCUUGUUUUGAAUCAUGCUUGAAGUUUAAUCCAAAUUUUUAUAGAGGGAGACAAAACUUAUCUCCACCAACACUUUAAAUAUGUUAGGGAUCACUGUUUUCCUCUGGUAUCUCUUUGAGUCAGAAUGUUGAUAAUGUUAGGAAAACUAAUUUUUUUGGAGAAGGACUCAAGGGUGAGAUUUUAUUCAGUUUGCAUCCUUCAGGUUGUUUCUGAAAGGCUCUCUGAAGAAUGAGCACUUGUCUUCUCUGUCCUUCAGGACAGCUGGUUGAUAUCCAUAAGGCUUCCUGGAGCUCUGCUUCCUCUUGGAAGGAAAUCUGGAAUUCUGUGUAUUUAGUUGGUUUUUUCUAUAUUCUUGAGGUUUUUUUACUGGAAUGUUUAAGCUAAAAAUGUAUCAAAAUUCUGUGGUGAAACUUAGGCAUGAGAAUCCAAUUCAAUAACUUAAUUUCUGCUUAAAAUUUCUUUAUCCAGUGCCAUUGAUCUUAUCACAAUGAGUUUGGUCAGUAAAGCUGUGAAUAUGCUUUCUGUGUCUGAGGGCAGGUGGGAAAUGGAGUUUGUGGGGGCUGAAUUAUCCUGGUUUUCUACAGUUCUUGGGGAAUUGUAGGUAUUUAGCACCCCUGAUUAACAGGUAACUUAUUUAGAUGUUUAAUUGUAGGCAGUCAGGAUGAAUUUUGAGUUAUUUUUCUUCCUUGAGUUUGGAUAUGAGUGAGGAGAGGGUGGCAUUUUAUGUCUUGUAAGAUGUAAAAGCAUGGAGGGAAAGAGCUGGUUUGAGGCUGCAUAGCAGCAUAUGCCUGGAAGGAAUGGGGUUAAAGCUAAGCAGAGUAGUAUGCCUGCUCCAUAGGAGAAAAAAUCUUGCAAACAAGAUGCAUUUAUCUGUAAGUGUGUUUUCCAAGACAACCAAAGAAAAUGCUAACAUGCAUGGACUUUCAAAAGUACUCUGUAAAAAAUAAAAAGAAAAAAGCAGUUGCUAGACCCUGGGUAGAAACAAUUUUCAUCUCUGAUAUUGUCUCUGAAUAUUUGGUGCGAAACACAGUGAUUUUGCUUGAAAAUACACGGGGCAGCCAAAAGCUUGUAGCCACUUGUGCCUUGCUGAGAUCAGCUUCCAUAAAACAGAGCUCCUUUAAAGGAGGUGCCACGCUGUCAGCACAUCUGUCUCGGGCAAGCGGAGGAAGCACUGGAGGGGGGGGAUUGCUGUUCAUUAAUUGCAUCAUAUUGAGCUUCCAGGCAGACUUGAGACGGCCAAAAGGUGGAGAUUUUUAGGUUCCUCCCCCUACUUUUCUAUCUCCUCCCCCCUUCCCAAAAUAAGUGUUUUGCCAAAACCUCCUUGUGGCAGAGCAAGGCUUUUAAAAGGAAAGUCAGGAACAAAGCAAGAAUUUUGGAGACUAGGUUAAUUCCAGUCCUUUCUUUUCUGAAAGGAAGACUUGUAAUGUGUGCAGUCUGUCAAGUCACUGCUUCUCAAGGUGAAAAUCCAAAAAAAAGUUAAACAUAUAAACAAUAAUAUUAUAGGGUCACAAGUCAUUACCCAGCCUUGUAAAUACAAGAGUUUUCAACUUCCAGUCAUUGAUCUAAGAACAAAAAUUGUAAGAACUGGGGACAUAGUCACACUUUGUUCUGUCGUAUUCAUGUGUGGAUUACUCAUGGAAAAAUUUCCUAUGCUUUCAACAGAAAUAUUUCUGAGGUAAAAUCUGUAGAAACUAGCUGAUACUUAAGAACUUUUAUAGCAUUAAGGGUUCAUUAAUAAAAUAAGCUCGUGGAUUUUGCAAUUUCUUUAUUAGAAAUGUAUACUUGACUAAUUUACUUAAUAUUGUGCCAGUGUUGUGCACUGUAAUCUUGUAUUUCUAGAUGUAAAAUGUGGUGAAGACUUUUCAAUGCAUCACAGCAGUUGCUUUUUGAAUGGAAAUAUAUUUACUACAAGUGUAGACAACUUAAUGUGUGAGACAAGACAUCUGCCAAGGAUGAAGUCUUGAAUUAAAUCCUAUUUUUAUCAAAGCUGUCAAUGUGUUAUGGCUUGAAGUGUUUUCUUCCUAAAAAAAAAAAAGGUGCCUUGAAGUUAUUUUUCUACUUCUUAGAUUGACCCUGUCCUUGACAUCUGGACAGACAGAAACAGGAAAUUAAUUCUUGGGGAUACAUGACAUCUGCCGCAAGAUUCUUGAAAUGAAAUGCACCUGAA
Non-coding RNA from Zonotrichia albicollis (white-throated sparrow), 6182 nucleotides. Lineage: Eukaryota; Metazoa; Chordata; Aves; Passeriformes; Passerellidae. The record is from RefSeq and is a predicted model, not a curated record.